This is a long non-coding RNA of Neogale vison (American mink), 1926 nucleotides long. The record is from Ensembl. NCBI's taxonomy places the organism in Eukaryota, Metazoa, Chordata, Mammalia, Carnivora, Mustelidae.
CUCUUCUGGGAAAGGGGAUCUUCUCAGGGAACAAGGGGAGGCUGGCAGAAUAUUUUUCUUUCUUGUGAAAAAAAGGCUAUAAGCCAACUCAAGCUAACACUUGGGUCUUUCCGGACAGCCCGGAAAGGGGCCUUCAAGGCCGUCAAUCACGACGUCCACGACCCAAGCGUGCUGACGUUCGCCUUUGCGUCGAGCCUUCGCCGGAAGCGCGCUUGUGUUGGUGGCUCUGGGCACCCCGGAGAGGGGAGCACAGGUCAUCAUUUGGGAAGAGCUUAUAUUUAUAAUUCCACACAAGAUACUGAACGUAGAACGUCUUUUCCAUUUUGUACAGCACUGACACUGAUACAGAAGAUCCAGGUCAACAUGGCCCUUGGGAGGCUGGUGACUAAGACCAGGGUGCUCAUGCCUGUGGAGGAAGCCAAGAGCUCGUUUGUGGACAGUAUCCAGGAUGAAUCUGUGUAAAAUGCCAAUGAAAAUACUCCCAGUCAAAACAUGAGGUGUGUGGGUGAGCUGUGAACAAAGAAAACGUCAUCACACUGAGAGCUUGAAGUACCAGGAAAGAAAGAUGACCAAGAAGCAAAUGAAGCAUCUGACUGAACAAUGCCAAGGAGGGCUCAGAGACACAAUUCUUAAAAGGGAAAGUACUUGCAAAGAAAACAGAGAAAUCAGACUUCAGAAGGAUUGGCUCCCCAAAUAGAGGACACAGUAAACAUUUGAUCACAUAAACCACAGAGUUAUCAAGGUUUGCAAGUUUAUACUAGUGUGUUAAUGCUGGCCAUGGACAACUUCCUUACAUGACUAUAGUCAUAAAGACCAAGGCAUAUUCUCAGAUAUCAACAUAGCAAAAUCACCAGUAGAAUUGCUUUUGGUUGGAAACCAGGUUUACAGGAUAUUCAAUAUUUUACUUGGUGGUCCAAGCCAGUUAGGGUGGCCUUGUUAUUUUUAUUUUAGAAGGCAAAGUACUUUACUUUUUUCCCAGUUGCUGUCUAUGAAAUGCUCAGUUCUGUUGGCAAUAGCAUAAUGUGUCAGUGUUGGCUUCUUGCAUCCCUCUUUUGGUCAGGUUCCUGCCAUUAAGAUGUAGAUUUGACGGAAGAGUUGACUUGUAGUUGUUGUUUUUAAAUUCAGUAUCAUUAAUUGGUGGUUUUGUGUUAUUUGGUGCAAUUACAUAGGAGUUACUAGAGUGGUUGUUUUCAUAGAAAGUCCUUUUAAUGGUUAUCAAAACUGUAGUCUUAUAACAUAGAGGCCUCAAAGUACACUUUUUGAGGGCAUUUUUUGUUCAGUGCUUAGGGUUUAUGUUCAGAAGUAUUUUAUUGCCCUCAUCAGAUCUGUUGGGAUUGAGAACUGGGAAACUACUUCACUCUACCAGGUCAAGCUGAAGUAACUAUGAUAGUAAGGGUACCCAUGUUGGUCACGGCUCUUGACUCGCAAGGAAGUGAGACUCAAAAUAUGUGUAAGAGGAGGAUUUCAUAAGCCAUAGAGCAGACACCAGGCAAGUUUUCCUGGGAGACAUUUGUGGCUAUCUUUUCCACAUGUGAAUAGUCCUUAUGAGUGGGCAUUUGACACUGAAUUCCAGAAGAAUUAAACAUUUAAAUGUAUAAAGUCUUCUAGAAGUAGAAGACUAUCUUUUUUUAUCUUUGUGUAAGGAAAAAUAGUCAAGACAUAAGAAGUUCUAAUCAGAAAGAUAGACACCUCUGACCUUAUUAAAAUUGAGAACUUCUGUUCAUCAGGAGACACCAAAAAGGAAGGGCAAAAACAAAUUACGAACUGGGAGAAGAUAUUUGCAAUGCCUGUAGCUGAGGAAGAUGGUAGUAUUCAGAUUAAUCCUAUAAAACAAACAGAAAAAGACAACCAAUGCAGGAACUGUCCAAACAGAGAUUUCACAGGGAGAAGAAAUACAAAACGUGAAUAAACAUGAAAAAUUACUCA